UACGAAGGGGGCUAGCGUUGUUCGGAAUUACUGGGCGUAAAGCGCACGUAGGCGGAUCAUUUAGUCAGGGGUGAAAUCCCGGGGCUCAACCUCGGAACUGCCUUUGAUACUGGCGAUCUCGAGUCCGGGAGAGGUGAGUGGAACUGCGAGUGUAGAGGUGAAAUUCGUAGAUAUUCGCAAGAACACCAGUGGCGAAGGCGGCUCACUGGCCCGGUACUGACGCUGAGGUGCGAAAGCGUGGGGAGCAAACAGG
Molecule: ribosomal RNA, 253 nt
Filed under: uncultured bacterium
Lineage: Bacteria
Description: partial 16S ribosomal RNA
Rfam family: Bacterial small subunit ribosomal RNA
Source: RNAcentral